GCAUGACCCUGGGUCCAGUCAAGCCAUCCACACUGUACAUGACUGUAGCGUUCUGACUGGGCAUUGUCUAUUUUUGAAGUAUUGUGACCAAUAAUUCACAUCCUGCACUUGGGUAGGUAUGGAAGAAGCAGACCUGGUAAAGGAACGACUCCAAGUCAUAAUGGAUAAGAGAAAAGUCCAAGAAGACAUUACUCAUAACAAGCUAGAACUAGACAAGGAGAAGUUGAAGCUUCAGCACUUAAAGAAGAGGUCCCUAAGGAACCAAUGGCUAAUGGAUGGAGUGAGCAACCAGACUGUACAGCAAAGAGAGACUUUGAGGGGAGAUAAACAACAAACUAAACUCCUCCAGACCACCAUCCGCAGUGUUUGGACUAGGCCCCUUUGUUCCAGUGAGGUGUCAUCAUAAUGUUACAGGAUACAAAGUGUCAUGGUGCGGUGAGCAGCAGCGCCACCGUGCCAUAUAUUCUCAAGUUCCCAUAGCGCACGAACACAUCCCGGACUGUCACAUGUCUCCAAUCUUUCAAACCAGGUCCCAAUUGUCAUCAUUUGUAUGUGUAUAUAUGUUUCCCCUCUGCUCCCCACAUUGUGGAUCAUUGUUGCUGUUCGUUUAAUGGUGAGUGUUGCUUGUUUGUACUGUCUGAAAAUUGCCUGUUAAGAUGCAUGUUGCACACUUUUAUUUCAUUCAGUCGUUUGUAGAGUUUUCCGUUUGUGUUCGGUUUGUUUGUAUGGUUAUUAAACCCACGAAUGUGAUAUAUGCCUGCACCUGGUUCCUUGCCAACACGACACCAACUAGAACCGUUACAGAAUGAUCCACCAAAACCUGAACCAGCAGGCAGUCCCUCCAGGACUGAGGCCUCC
This is a long non-coding RNA of Esox lucius (northern pike), 858 nucleotides long. NCBI's taxonomy places the organism in Eukaryota, Metazoa, Chordata, Actinopteri, Esociformes, Esocidae. The record is from Ensembl.